Molecule: ribosomal RNA, 460 nt
Filed under: uncultured bacterium
Lineage: Bacteria
Description: partial 16S ribosomal RNA
Rfam family: Bacterial small subunit ribosomal RNA
Source: RNAcentral
GACGAACGCUGGCGGCGUGCUUAACACAUGCAAGUCGAGCGGUAAGGCCCCUUCGGGGGUACACGAGCGGCGAACGGGCGAGUAACACGUGGGUGACCUGCCCUCAGCUCUGGGAUAAGUCUGUGAAACUGGGUCUAAUACCGGCCAUGACCUUUCUUCUCCUGGGGUUUGGGGGAAAGUUUUUUCGGCCGGGGAUGGGCCCGCGGCCUAUUAGCUUGUUGGUGGGGUGAUGGCCUACUAAGGCGACGACGGGUAGCCGGCCUGGGAGGGCGACCGGCCAGGCAGUGAGUGAGGCACCGGACAGACUCGUACGGGAGGAAGCGGGAGGGAAGAUUGCGCAAGGGGCGGAAGACUGAGGCAGCGACGCCGCGUGAGGAAGGACGGCCGGCGGGUUGUAGCCCUCUUUCGACCCCGACGAAUUUGGACGGUAGGGGUAGAAGAAGCACCGGCUAACUACGUG